CUGUUGGACUAUUUCGUUGGUUUCUAGGACAAGAGUAAUGAUUAAUAGGGAUAGUUGGGGGCAUUCGUAUUUAAUUGUCAGAGGUGAAAUUCUUAGAUUUAUGAAAGACGAACUUCUGCGAAAGCAUUUGCCAAGGAUGUUUUCAUUAAUCAAGAACGAAAGUUAGGGGAUCGAAGACGAUCAGAUACCGUCGUAGUCUUAACCAUAAACUAUGCCGACUAGGGAUUGGCGGAUGUUCCAUAUACGACUCCUUCAGCACCUUUAGCGAAAGCAAAGUUUUUGGGUUCCGGGGGGAGUAUGGUCGCAAGGCUGAAACUUAAAGGAAUUGACGGAAGGGCACCACCAGGAGUGGAGCCUGCGGCUUAAUUUGACUCAACACGGGGAAACUCA
Molecule: ribosomal RNA, 390 nt
Filed under: Eukaryota sp.
Lineage: Eukaryota
Description: SSU rRNA
Rfam family: Eukaryotic small subunit ribosomal RNA
Source: RNAcentral